UCGGUCGGUCAACUGCUACACGUCUGCAAAACAGUCUCCGACGAAACUGACCUCACUGCCACUCCACAAUAACCCAAACUCCAAUUUUGCAUCCACCACAAAACGCCACGAUUUCCUCCCUUACAACACCAUCAGAACCACACGUCACCAAGAACGACAUCGCCACCACGACAACACCAUAAAAACUCUAAUGCCUUAGCCGUCGUAUUUCCUCUACACUCUGUUGUGGUAGUUUUUUUUCUUGCUCUCUCUUGAUGUGUUUGGUGUUGUUGGAAUGGUAG
This 281-nucleotide long non-coding RNA is filed under the name Lathyrus oleraceus (garden pea). RNAcentral describes it as "Pisum sativum (pea) long non-coding RNA (PSAT_LNC008536)". Lineage: Eukaryota; Viridiplantae; Streptophyta; Magnoliopsida; Fabales; Fabaceae. The record is from RNAcentral.